AAAUAUAGCGGACCAUAAUGAUUUGCNNUAUAAUUGAAGGCUCGUACGAAUGGUUUGACGAGAACAAAGCUCUUUUUAAUUUUAUAAAACUUGAUUCUUAGGUGAAGAAGCCUAAAUAAAAUAAAUAAAAUUAAAAGACAAGAAAACCCCAUCGAGCUUUCAAAUAUAUAAUGGCUAAAAUAGACAACCAUAAUAAAAACAAUUUUAAUUUAGUUUGGUCGAUGAAACAAAACACAUUUUUGUUNAAAGCAGAUCAGCUGUGAUCCAAAAUUUUUGAUUAAAAGANNNNGUUACCGUAGGGAUAACAGCAUAAUUUUUUUUGAGAGUUCUUAUCGAGAAAAAGGUUUGUGACCUCGAUGUUAGAAUAAAAUAAUCUAAAUGAUGCAGAAGUUUUUGAGGGUUGGUCUGUUCAACC
RNAcentral lists this ribosomal RNA (415 nucleotides) under Springvalia isolata. Its description in RNAcentral is "partial 16S ribosomal RNA". The stretch from base 301 to 415 matches the Rfam family "Bacterial large subunit ribosomal RNA", at positions 2473 to 2586 of the family's 2925-position model. Lineage: Eukaryota; Metazoa; Mollusca; Gastropoda; Littorinimorpha; Tateidae. The record is from RNAcentral.